AUUGAACGCUGGCGGCAUGCUUUACACAUGCCAGUCGAACGGUAACAGGCCUUCGGGUGCUGACGAGUGGCGAACGGGUGAGUAAUGCAUCGGAACGUGCCCAGAGGUGGGGGAUAACGCAGCGAAAGCUGUGCUAAUACCGCAUGUGAUCUGAGGAUGAAAGCGGGGGACCAGGCAGCAAUGUUUGGCCUCGCGCCUUUGGAGCGGCCGAUGUCAGAUUAGGUAGUUGGUGGGGUAAGGGCCUACCAAGCCGACGAUCUGUAGCUGGUCUGAGAGGACGACCAGCCACACUGGGACUGAGACACGGCCCAGACUCCUACGGGAGGCAGCAGUGGGGAAUUUUGGACAAUGGGCGCAAGCCUGAUCCAGCAAUGCCGCGUGCGGGAAGAAGGCCUUCGGGUUGUAAACCGCUUUUGUACGGAACGAAAAGGCUCUGGCUAAUACCUGGGGCUGAUGACGGUACCGUAAGAAUAAGCACCGGCUAACUACGUG
This 492-nucleotide ribosomal RNA is filed under the name uncultured bacterium. Its description in RNAcentral is "partial 16S ribosomal RNA". It matches the Rfam family "Bacterial small subunit ribosomal RNA", at positions 30 to 507 of the family's 1533-position model. The record is from RNAcentral.